UGUUUCCGCCCGACAUGAAUAAAAUAUAGAAUACAACGAAAGUUCUUACAACAGCCGAUACAGCACGAUGUGAGCUUUGAAUAAGUAUUUUUUAAAUGUGAUAUAAAUGUAUUUUAUUGUAUCUUUGCAAGAAGGGGGCUGUCAAACACGAACACGUUGACACAACAGGCCGGUGGAGCAUAGAACAUCUGCCUCGCAGCCAGGUGCUUCUGGGUUUGAAUCUGGGUUCAGACCUUUCUCUGGACACGUCUCCAUGCAUCCUCCCAGGCAGUAGGUUGCUAUGAUGGGAUUCCCAGUGAUGCAAUAUCAGCCAACCAUGACUCAACUCUCUG
Molecule: long non-coding RNA, 332 nt
Organism: Entelurus aequoreus (snake pipefish)
Lineage: Eukaryota; Metazoa; Chordata; Actinopteri; Syngnathiformes; Syngnathidae
Exons: 3
Source: RefSeq, a predicted model, not a curated record